Molecule: ribosomal RNA, 491 nt
Filed under: uncultured bacterium
Lineage: Bacteria
Description: partial 16S ribosomal RNA
Rfam family: Bacterial small subunit ribosomal RNA
Source: RNAcentral
AGUGAACGCUGGCGGUAGGCCUAACACAUGCAAGUCGAACGGCAGCACAGUAAGAGCUUGCUCUUACGGGUGGCGAGUGGCGGACGGGUGAGGAAUACAUCGGAAUCUACUUUUUCGUGGGGGAUAACGUAGGGAAACUACGCUAAUACCGCAUACGACCUACGGGUGAAAGCAGGGGAUCUUCGGACCUUGCGCGAUUGAAUGAGCCGAUGUCGGAUUAGCUAGUUGGCGGGGUAAGGGCCCACCAAGGCGACGAUCCGUAGCUGGUCUGAGAGGAUGAUCAGCCACACUGGAACUGAGACACGGUCCAGACUCCUACGGGAGGCAGCAGUGGGGAAUAUUGGACAAUGGGCGCAAGCCUGAUCCAGCCAUACCGCGUGGGUGAAGAAGGCCUUCGGGUUGUAAAGCCCUUUUGUUGGGAAAGAAAAGCAGCAGGUUAAUACCCCGCUGUUCUGACGGUACCCAAAGAAUAAGCACCGGCUAACUUCGUG